RNAcentral lists this ribosomal RNA (264 nucleotides) under Enterobacter mori. RNAcentral describes it as "partial 16S ribosomal RNA". It matches the Rfam family "Bacterial small subunit ribosomal RNA", at positions 222 to 478 of the family's 1533-position model. The record is from RNAcentral. Lineage: Bacteria; Pseudomonadati; Pseudomonadota; Gammaproteobacteria; Enterobacterales; Enterobacteriaceae.
CAGAUGGACCCGCGGCGCAUUAGCUAGUUGGUGAGGUAAUGGCUCACCAAGGCAACGAUACGUAGCCGACCUGAGAGGGUGAUCGGCCACACUGGAACUGAGACACGGUCCAGACUCCUACGGGAGGCAGCAGUAGGGAAUCUUCCGCAAUGGGCGAAAGCCUGACGGAGCAACGCCGCGUGAGUGAAGAAGGUUUUCGGAUCGUAAAGCUCUGUUGUUAGAGAAGAACAAGUGCUUGAGUAACUGUUAGCACCUUGACGGUAU